CCUUCGAUCCAUAUCUAUCCAAACAAAAAAAAAAACAAAUUAAGGACAUUAUAUAUGUAAUAUUUACUGUUAUUAAGGGUGAUGGAAAUGAAGUGAUUAUGAUACGAAAUGAACUAGAUCAAAGUAACUAGCGAAGUCACAAUCCGAGGCAUCAAAUAUACGGGUGGUGUUGGAAAAAAAAAGUUAUCAUUAACCCGAGGCAACAAAUAUACAGGUGGCGUUGAAAAAAAAAGUUAUCAUUAACCCAAGGCAUCAUAUUCAAAAUGUUCUACUCUUAUACAUCUAUAAACAUGUGUCUAAGAACACUAGUAUGAGGAUUGCUAUCAUUGCUAGGCAUUGCAUGUGAAGAGGGAAAUUAAAGGACACCUGUAAUGCAGUAGCGUUAGCCUUAGCCUUCCGUUUAUGCUCCUCUUCUCUGCAACCAACAACCACAAAAAAUUGCAAUUCAGCAUCAACCCCACACCAUACAAAACAUUCACAUUGUAAUAUCAUGAUUAUAAACCAAGUACACACACACACACUCAUGGACAAAUGUGCAAAAUACACAUACAUACUCACACUCACACUCACACUAACACACACACACGGACAUACUCACACUCACACACGGACAUACACUCACACACACACACACUGCAUACACACUCACACACAUACUCACACGGACAUACACACUCUCACACACGGACAUACACUCACACACACCCUGCAUACAUACAUACACACACACACACACUGCAUACAUACAUACACACACACACACACACAGCAUACAUACAUACACACACACACACUGCAUACAUACAUACACACACACACACACUGCAUACAUACACACACACACACACACACAGCAUACAUACACACACACACACACACUGGUUAGAUGCACACACUGCACACAUACUGGUCAGAUGCACACACUACAUACACACACACACACUGCAUACACACUCACACACUGCAUACACACUCACACACAUACUCACACGGACAUACACACUCUCACACACACCCUGCAUACAUACAUACAUACACACACACACACUGCAUACAUACACACACACACACUGCAUACAUACAUACACACACACAGGCAUACAUACACACACACACACUGGUCAGAUGCACACACUGCAUUCACACGAACAUACACACUCUCACACACUGACAUACACUCACACACACCCUGCAUACAUACACACACACACUGCAUACACACUCACACACAUACUCACACGGACAUACACACUCUCACACACGGACAUACACUCACACACACCCUGCAUACAUACAUACAUACACACACACACACACUGCAUACAUACACACACACACACACUGCAUACAUACACACACACACACACACGGCAUACAUACACACACACACUGGUUAGAUGCACACACUACACUCACACGGACAUACACACUCUCACACACUGACAUACACUCACACACACCCUACAUACAUACACACACACCCUGCAUACAUACACACACACACACACACACACUGCAUACACACACACACACACACUGCAUACACACUCACACACAUACUCACACGGACAUACACACUCUCACACACGGACAUACACUCACACACACCCUGCAUACAUACAUACAUACACACACACACACACACAUUGCACACAUACACACACACACACACACUGCAUACAUACACACACACAGACACUGCAUACAUACACACACACACACUGCAUACAUACACACACACACACUGCAUACAUACACACACACACACACACUGGUCAGAUGCACACACUGCACUCACACGGACAUACACACUCUCACACACUGACAUACACUCACACACACCAUGCAUACAUACACACACACCCUGCAUACAUACACACACACCCUACAUACAUACAUACACACACACACAUUGCAUACACACACACACACACACUGCAUACAUACAUACACACGCACACACACUGCAUACACACACACACACACUGUAUACACACACACACACACACUGCUUUAUGAAAACCCCAAAUUCCAAAUUUCUAAUCUCAAUUUCAAACCCCAAAUUCCAAGCUUUAUGAAAACCCCAAAUUCCAAACCCCAAAUUCCAAAUUUCUACUGCAUACUUACAUACACACACACACUGCUUUAUGAAAACCCCAAAUUCCAAAUUUCAAACCCCAAAUUCCAAAUUUCUAAUCUCAAUUUCAAACCCCAAAUUCCAAGCUUUAUGAAAACCCCAAUUUCUAAUCUCAAUUUCACCUAAAUAUCAAAACCCUAAAAUUUGUUCAACUGCAGAAUCAAAUAAAGCUCAAACCCAAAACAAAUCCGCCCAAAUCGACGAAAAAAAUCCACCCAAAUCGACGAAAAAAAUCGAACAAUCGAAGCUUACCAGACAACUGGAGGCAGAUGAGGGCGAGCAGAUCUGUUAUGUGAAGACGAUGGAGCGGACGACGAGAGGAACAGAUGAGGAGCAGGAUGCAACUGACGGCGAGCAGGACGCAGAGAUGAGGAUGAGGAGGACGACGUGAGGGAGGAGGACGUCGACAACACUCUCUCCUAGGAUGACCGAGGUUCUUUCUCGCAAGAGCGCAAUCGGAUGAGAAGGACGACGUGAGGGAUGAGGUCUUACGAAUCCGGACGUUUUUUGGGUGGUUCGCUAAGAACUCCUAGCGAGGGGUUUAAUCCGUGCGAGUCGGAUCUAAUCCCAUUAAACCUAAUCCUUGCCCCUACCAAACAUCAGACUACAAUACCAAUUAGUGUAGUCCAGUCCAGUCCCCCCUAAGAAGGUCAAACAAACACGCCCUAAGUGCUUUUCCAGCUUAUGGAAUGUUGUCAGGAUGGAGUACACAUGGCUAUAAAGCCUGUCCACAUUGCAUGCAUGAUAAAGAAUCUAUUUACUUACCAGCGAGUCGUAAGAUUUGUUAUAUGGGGCAUCGACGUUUUCUUGAAGAUAAUCAUAGGUUUCGAAAGCAAACCAUAAAUUUUAAUGGUCGUCGAGAGCAUCGUAGUGCACCAAAGGCAGUGGACUGGUUUACAGUGUCUCGAAGAACUUUCUACAUUGAGAUUUACUUUUGGAAAACCAAAGAAAGAUGCUUCUGUUGGGCAAUGCAGAAAAAGAACUUCGAGCAGUACAAGUAGUAACAGUCAGUGGAAGAAGAAAUCUAUUUUUUAUGAACUACCUUAUUUGAGGCAUCUGUUGAUUAGACACAAUCUCGAUAUUAUGCAUAUCGAGAAGAAUAUAUGUGACAGUGUGGUGGAAACAUUGCUAGAUAUAGAAAAG
Molecule: long non-coding RNA, 3280 nt
Filed under: Malus domestica (apple)
Lineage: Eukaryota; Viridiplantae; Streptophyta; Magnoliopsida; Rosales; Rosaceae
Description: long non-coding RNA (MDOM_LNC002374)
Source: RNAcentral